AACGAACGCUGGCGGCAUGCUUAACACAUGCAAGUCGAACGGUAACAGCAGUGCUUGCACUGGCUGACGAGUGGCGCACGGGUGAGUAACGCGUGGAUACGCGCCUUGAUGUGGGGGACAACAGUUGGAAACGACUGCUAAUACCGCAUAAUCCCUGAGGGGGAAAGACUUCGGUCGCAUUAAGAGUGGUCCGCGUUGGAUUAGCUAGUUGGUGAGGUAAUGGCUCACCAAGGCGACGAUCCAUAGCUGGUCUGAGAAGGUGAUCAGCCACACUGGGACUGAGACACGGCCCAG
RNAcentral lists this ribosomal RNA (294 nucleotides) under uncultured bacterium. RNAcentral describes it as "partial 16S ribosomal RNA". It matches the Rfam family "Bacterial small subunit ribosomal RNA", at positions 29 to 334 of the family's 1533-position model. The record is from RNAcentral.